This is a non-coding RNA of Acanthosepion pharaonis, 107 nucleotides long. Lineage: Eukaryota; Metazoa; Mollusca; Cephalopoda; Sepiida; Sepiidae. The record is from the annotation of a GenBank genome assembly.
UAUACCAUGUGAAAACACUGACUCCCAUACGAUCACCAAAGUUGAGCAAUGUCGAGCCUGGUCAGUACCUAGAUGGGUGACCGGUUGUGAAUACCAGAUGCUGUAAG